Molecule: ribosomal RNA, 480 nt
Filed under: Streptococcus sp. oral taxon C65
Lineage: Bacteria; Bacillati; Bacillota; Bacilli; Lactobacillales; Streptococcaceae
Description: bacterial SSU rRNA
Rfam family: Bacterial small subunit ribosomal RNA
Source: RNAcentral
GACGAACGCUGGCGGCGUGCCUAAUACAUGCAAGUAGGACGCUGAAGAGAGGAGCUUGCUCUUCUUGGAUGAGUUGCGAACGGGUGAGUAACGCGUAGGUAACCUGCCUUGUAGCGGGGGAUAACUAUUGGAAACGAUAGCUAAUACCGCAUAACAAUGGAUGACACAUGUCAUUUAUUUGAAAGGGGCAAUUGCUCCACUACAAGAUGGACCUGCGUUGUAUUAGCUAGUAGGUGAGGUAACGGCUCACCUAGGCGACGAUACAUAGCCGACCUGAGAGGGUGAUCGGCCACACUGGGACUGAGACACGGCCCAGACUCCUACGGGAGGCAGCAGUAGGGAAUCUUCGGCAAUGGGGGCAACCCUGACCGAGCAACGCCGCGUGAGUGAAGAAGGUUUUCGGAUCGUAAAGCUCUGUUGUAAGUCAAGAACGUAGUGUGAGAGUGGAAAGUUCACACUGUGACGGUAGCUUACCAGAAA